Molecule: unclassified non-coding RNA, 305 nt
Organism: Erinaceus europaeus (western European hedgehog)
Lineage: Eukaryota; Metazoa; Chordata; Mammalia; Eulipotyphla; Erinaceidae
Gene: 7SK
Rfam family: 7SK RNA
About the family: 7SK was discovered as an abundant small nuclear RNA in the mid-70s but a possible function has only recently been suggested. Two independent studies have found that 7SK RNA binds the CDK9/cyclin T complex (known as elongation factor P-TEFb). P-TEFb activates transcription by phosphorylating the C-terminal domain of RNA polymerase II.
Source: Ensembl
AGAUGUAAGGGGGAUGUGGCUGAGAUGUCUGUCACCUCCUUUGAUCGCCAGGGUUGACCUGGCUGACCCGGCUGGCUAGGCGAGUGUCCUCUUCCUCCCUCACUGCCCCGUGUGUGUCCCUCCCUAAGAUGUGUGCUCUGUCCAAGAGGACAACCUUCCCUGAAAAGAGACGGACUGGUCUUCGGUCGAGAGUAUACAAGUAGUUGUGAUCGCCUGCUAGAACCUCCAGACCAGCUCUAAGUUUAACAAGAAGAAGAAAGGAAAAAGGCCCAAAACAUAGCUCACCAACUAGGGUACACCUCUUA